Molecule: ribosomal RNA, 292 nt
Filed under: uncultured bacterium
Lineage: Bacteria
Description: partial 16S ribosomal RNA
Rfam family: Bacterial small subunit ribosomal RNA
Source: RNAcentral
GUGUCAGCCGCCGCGGUAAGACGUAGGAGGCGAGCGUUAUCCGGAUUCACUGGGCGUAAAGCGCAUGUAGGCGGUUGGACAAGUCGUGUGUUAAAGCCCCUGGCUCAACUGGGGGAGGUCAUGCGAGACUGUGCGACUUGAGGGCAAGAGAGGCACGUGGAACUCCCGGUGUAGCGGUGGAAUGCGUAGAGAUCGGGAAGAACACCAGUGGCGAAGGCGACGUGCUGGGUUGCACCUGACGCUGAGAUGCGAAAGUGUGGGGAGCAAACGGGAUUAGAUACCCCCGUAGUCC